AUAUAUAUAUACAUACAUACAUACAUACAUACAUACAUACAUAUCUCCUUCCCUUCUAAACCCCUUUCCCUUUCUGAUUCUUCUUCCAUGUUUCUCCCCUUUCUUGCUUCUUCUUCUUCCUCUUCCUCUUCUUCGUUCUCCACUGAUCUCCCUUUUCCUCAUCCACUUCACUGAUCUCCUUCAUUCUACUUCCAACUUCCCAAUUGCGCUCAACGGACCAGGGUUUCUUUUGUUCUUUCCUGCUCUGCUGCAAUUCGCGUCACUUCCGUUCUUCUUCCAGGCUGCUAUAAAUAAACCUACCCUUUAUGCUUCGUGCACGUACUGUUCCUCCCCUACCCCCUCCCCACUCAAAUGGUGUGGCCUCUGAGACUUGAUUUGUUCUGAAUGACGUGGAAGUAUAAAUUCUGGGGGGUUUUUGUAUUGGUACAGUACCGCAAUUCAGCUUCAAUUUGAGUGACUGGGGUUUGGAGCUGCUACAGUUUACAGUGUAUGAACCGCCCUCUGGAGAAAUGCAACCUCAGCACAGCUCCAGAAUUGAUUUAGGCGACUUGAAAGCUCAGAUAGUUAAGAAACUUGGAAAUGACAAGUCAAAGCGGUACUUCUUCUACUUGAGCAGAUUUCUGGGUCAGAAACUGAGCAAGUUUGAGUUUGAUAAGAUGUGCGUCCGUGUGCUUGGAAGGGAGAAUAUUCAGCUCCACAAUAAAUUGAUAAGGUCAAUUUUGAAGAAUGCAUGUGUAGCCAAGACCCCACCACCAAUAAAUGGGUCAGGACAUGCACAGUCUAUGCUACAAGCUUCAAACAACUCACCUUGCAGGGAAGAUGGCCCUGAACAUAAUGGAUCUACUUUUCCGAAUCAGAAUCAGAAUCAGGCUAUGCCAAUUUGGCCAAAUGGAGUUCUUCCAGUUUCCCCACGGAAAGGGAGAUCUGUCUUACGUGGAAAGUUUAGGGAUAGGCCGAGUCCGCUUGGUCCGAAUGGAAAAAUAACAUGUCUUUCGUAUCAAUCAUCUGGUACUGAAGAUAGCAGCAGCAAAGUUAUUACAGAGAAUGGUAACGUAAACAUGUGUGACUAUCAGAGACCGGUACAGCAUCUUGAAGCAGUAGCUGAGCUACCUGAGAAUGACAUAGACGGAGCAGUUCUGCGGCCAUCAGAAAAACCAAGAAUACAUCCAACAGAAGCAGCUGUUCUUGAAGAUAGAGACGAGGUGGAACAGUCAGAUCCCUUAAGCAUCCUCAGAGGUCCUCUACUUCCACCUCUUGGUUUUCCCUUUUGCUCAGCUAGUGUAGGUGGGGCACGCAAGGCCUUGCCAGUUGGUAGUAGUGGCAGUGGCCGUGAUUUUCUGAGUUGUUACGACAGUAUUGGAUUGUCUGAUUCAGAGACGGUGAGAAAACGAAUGGAGCAAAUCGCAACUGCUCAAGGGCUUGAAGGUGUUUCUAUAGAAUGUCCCAACAUCUUGAAUAACACUCUGGAUGUGUACCUGAAGCAAUUGAUCAAGUCUUGCCUUGAGUUGGUGAGAUCAAGGUCUACAAUUGAACAUACAGGGCACCCUAUCCAGAAGCAACAGAAUCAAGGGAAGGUUAUAAAUGGUAUGCGGCCCAGCAACCACCAACACGUACAGAAUAGCAACGGGCGGUCUGAAGUUUUGCAGGAAAAGAGUUUAGAAUGCUCAGCGUCAUUGCUCGAUUUCAAAGUUGCUAUGGAGAUCAAUCCAAAGCAGCUUGGGGAAGAUUGGCCUUUGAUGUUGGAGAAAAUUUCUAUGCGUGCCUUUGAGAAAUAAGCAGUUGCAAAGGCUUUAUUUAUCCUCAGCCAUCCUUUUGGCUGGUCUUGUUCAGGUCCAAAGGACUUUAAAUUUUACCUGGGAUGUCUUCCUGUUCAGCCCUUCUUGCUGGGGUAUACUUGAUCACACUCCCAUUGGGUUCAGGCUCCAAGAUUCCAUGCUAAAAAUAUUGUAACAACCCGGGGAACCUCCGACCGCACAUGAGUCCCUUGCCCAUUGCCUGCUCCAUUUAGGAAGUUGAAUUAACUCGACUAGAAAAGGGGAAGCUUUCAGCCAGAAUGCCCAUAAAAAAGGUUGUUCUGUUGCAUUUUUAGCAUUCAUGUUAGCCCCAUUUGCCACUACCUUGUAACUUAGCCUUUUCAUGUAACUUAUUUUUGAGAGAAUCAGAAAAGUUUUGCAGGGAUACUGUCAAUUAGUUUGGUGAAAGAUGGAACACCUGGGUGAGAGCUUCAGAUAAAUGUGAAUGUAUAUGUGGGAGAAGUUCAAGUCUCAGGAGCAGCACAGCCUGAUUUCGAGGUCUCUGCAACUGGAUAUCCCGCUUGCUACCGAACAAAUCAACGUUCUACAAAUGCCACGAUGAAUUGGAUGGGGACAAUUCUCAUUAAAAGGUAACGUCAUGAUUGAACUUUGUAGUAGACAAAAGUACGGGACCAUUUUAACUCGAAAAGCACCUGUUCUUCCGAGAAAUAGAAAUUAGCUCCACCUGAUUUUGUGGUUUUCUGUUGUUUUAUCGCAAGUGCUUUGGCUGAUCAUAAUUGAUUAGUGUUCUUCUGAGAGGUUGCCUCACAAUUUUCUUAUGAUAUUGCUUGUGCUUGUUGUCAGUAAUGUAUAUUCUUCAAUUUUAGCUGAACGUGUGUUCAUAUUAUUUUGAAGUAACUAUUGCCGAGUACUAUAAACUUCUUGAGUCUGUGUCAUUGGAAAAAAGAACUUCAGAGUUUGUAAUGCACAAGGGAAGGAAUCAUUGAAGCAAUCACGGUGACGUGGCGAAGUUCAUAUCUCAUCGACACGGCGCAGAGAACUGCAGUCUUUGUUCCUUGCUGUACAUACCUACAGUGGCAUGCUUAUUUUAAAGGAUGAUCAUGUUGCUCUAUGCAGCAAAUUCUGGUUUCAUUUCACUCACUCAGCUAUGUCUAUGCUUUCUGCAUCAUGUAAGUCAAUUUUGAUGUUAAUUUGUCUUGCUUUGUUUGUGGGAUGAAGGAAGCAUUUUGAUAGCUCAAAGGAAGGAAAAGAAGUUACUGUAAGCAAAUCUAAUGGUUUGAUUGACUCGUAUCGACGUAGACUUUGAUGCUUUAAUGAGAUAUUCAAAUGAUGGAGAAGUCGCUCUUUUUAAGAUUGUCUCAAACGAUCGUCUGAAAGUGACAAAAGAAACAGCUUAUUCUUUCUUCGAUAAUUUCUGAUCUUUAGUGAACCUCUCAAUAGGAUUUGAACUCGAAGUUCUGACCAUCUAUAAGAGAAAAAAGAACGAAUAGAUCUAGUAGGAUUUUUGAGAAAUUUUUUGAGUUCUUUCGGAAGUGGAUGAUUAUUGAACUGCUUCUCACAUUUUGUAAAUAGCCGGAACAUUGAGGUGUAGGGAUUUAUACUUUGACUAGUCAAAGCUAUAUUGAAGCCCCCAUAUUCUUGUUCAUCGUUUUAUUCGUUUUUCAAAUUGUGGCUAAGCCAAUUGGGGAGAGUAAAAUGGAUUGGAUUGAAUUGACAGGAGCCUUGGUAAUGAACUUGUUCGGAUGGCUUCACUCUUGUCUAUGAAGACCUUACAUGCAGUCUCUUAUACUCCCAUAAAGGGAAGUGUUGAACUCAGCGCAGUCUUAAGCUAAUGUCUAAUCGUUGAUUCCCAUAUGUGCUCUUCUUUGCUAUGAUUUUCUAACCCUGAAGUUUGUCCCUUUAUUGUAUUCAAAUUG
This is an RNA transcript of Cucurbita moschata (crookneck pumpkin), 3670 nucleotides long. RefSeq lists it as uncharacterized. The record is from RefSeq and is a predicted model, not a curated record. The transcript is spliced from 5 exons. NCBI's taxonomy places the organism in Eukaryota, Viridiplantae, Streptophyta, Magnoliopsida, Cucurbitales, Cucurbitaceae.